RNAcentral lists this ribosomal RNA (253 nucleotides) under uncultured bacterium. Its description in RNAcentral is "partial 16S ribosomal RNA". It matches the Rfam family "Bacterial small subunit ribosomal RNA", at positions 524 to 776 of the family's 1533-position model. The record is from RNAcentral.
UACGUAGGGGGCGAGCGUUGUCCGGAAUUACUGGGCGUAAAGGGCGCGUAGGCGGCAUAUUAAGUUAGAUGUGAAAUUCCCGGGCUUAACUUGGGCAUUGCAUUUAAAACUGAUAAGCUUGAGUGCAGGAGAGGAAAGUGGAAUUCCUAGUGUAGCGGUGAAAUGCGUAGAUAUUAGGAGGAACAUCGGUGGCGAAGGCGACUGUCUGGUCUGUAACUGACACUGAGGCGCGAAAGCGUGGGGAGCAAACAGG